CCAGGUGUCCACAUGAAUCAGUUGAAAAGGCCUAGAAGUUCUAAUGGAGCUAUCAGGGAAAUGAAGCUUAGUCUGUCUGGCUAUGGGACAGACUGUACAGGGAAAGGGGUGUUUGGAAGCAAAAGGAAAAGAUAGACUAGAAAUGCAUUUCAUAUUUGAAAAUGGAGUAUGUGCAAGUCUUAAGUGCCAAAUGUAAUUCAUAUCAGAUGCAAAAUCAUUAUUACAGAUGGAACUAUUUACAUGUGAAGGCAAAGGAACAUCCUUGUUAUCAGACAAGAUGUCAUCAUUACAAGAAAAAGACACAGAAGGCAAUGCAACAGCUUUGUUAUCAUUACAAGAACCAGAUACAGGUCAAACAGAAGUAGAAGAACAAUUAACAGAGGGAGAAGGGGAAGAAGGAACACAAGCUAGUUUAUACAGGCCAGCAGCUUCUCUACCA
Molecule: long non-coding RNA, 439 nt
Filed under: Nicotiana benthamiana
Lineage: Eukaryota; Viridiplantae; Streptophyta; Magnoliopsida; Solanales; Solanaceae
Description: long non-coding RNA (NBEN_LNC041130)
Source: RNAcentral